UUCAGUAUUGUUGACUGAUUGUUAUUGGGA
RNAcentral lists this non-coding RNA (30 nucleotides) under Rattus norvegicus (Norway rat). Lineage: Eukaryota; Metazoa; Chordata; Mammalia; Rodentia; Muridae. The record is from RNAcentral.